CAGCCCAAAUCCGAUGGGAAACUCCAGCAUGCUGUCAUCUGUUCAGACGGAGUGACAUUUGUCUGGAAUCUGCACAAGCCAGUUCUCACCCUCUGACGGGACGCCCACGGACCCUUCGCAGACUUUCUGAUCAUUACUACAAGUCAAAGUUUUCAAAAUCGCAAGACGCUUUGCCUGAGAGAGCUUCUGAGGAAGAACUAACCAGACUGAAGCCGAUGAUCAGCGCCGCCGGAGGCAAGAGACUCUAUCAGUACCAGACUGUCUUUGUUU
Sinocyclocheilus grahami is the source of this 270-nucleotide long non-coding RNA. RefSeq lists it as uncharacterized. The transcript is spliced from 3 exons. Lineage: Eukaryota; Metazoa; Chordata; Actinopteri; Cypriniformes; Cyprinidae. The record is from RefSeq and is a predicted model, not a curated record.